AUAAGGAAUCUUCACUGGGCUGCCGAACCUUUCUUCAAUUCUCUUUCCUUGUAUUUGGAUAUUUUUAGUAAGGGAAAUUUGGCCUAAUACCCUUGUUUUAAAGGCUCUAAUGAAAACUACCCAUCCGUUUCCAACCUUUUUUGUUUUACCCUUCUAUUUUCAAAUAUCCCCAUAUUACCCUUUGCAAAUGUGAAAAGGAAGAAUGAAGAUGUAAGGUUACGCUAUUUUUCCCCUAAACGGAGCACGAAGAAGAAGAGGAAGAGAAAGUGAGAGAGAAUGGCGAAGCGUUUUGGGACAAUCGGAGUUCUUCAGGAGGAGGAGCGAGUGGAGGAAGCAUCCAAGGCUCAGCAAUUAGCUCUGUCAUGCCUUUCUCGGUCUCAGAGUUGACGAGCUGGUCUACAACAAACUCCUCCUUCCUCUUCUUCUUCUGCUUCUUCUUCUUCUCACCACUCUUCCCAUUCCUCUGCCUCUCACUGACUCACUGAGACAACUAAAACAAUAACCUCAUCAGGACCGCUCAAAUAAUGGCAGAGGCUUACGUGUUAUGCCAAUGAACUUAUAUGAGUUUCAAGUUGUUGGCCAUGGCAUGUUCGUUGGAGUUAUUAACUUAGAAAAUAAGACGUGCUCAUGCAAGGAAUUUGACAUUGAUGGAUUUCCUUGUGUCCAUGCAAACGCUGCUGCAGUGCAAACUCCUGUUACUAAUUGCUUGGAAAAAAUCAUGCAGGACCGCUCAAAUAAUGGCAGAGGCUUACGUGUUAUGCCAAUGAACUUAUAUGAGUUUCAAGUUGUUGGCCAUGGCAUGUUCGUUGGAGUUGUUAACUUAGAAAAUAAGACAUGCUCAUGCAAGGAAUUUGACAUUGAUGGAUUUCCUUGUGUCCAUGCAAUUGCAGCAUGUAAGCAUCGACAUAUCUCUCCAUAUUUCCUUUGCUCGGCGCAUUACUCAGUUGACUCACUCCGUGAUGCAUAUUCGGAAACCAUAUAUCCACUUGGAGAUAAAAGUCAGUGGCAUGCUCCAGAUGAUGUCAUAAACCAGGUUGUAGUUCCACCUUAAAUUGGCAAACAGUCAGGAAGACCGAGAAAGAAGAGGAUUCAAUCUCAAGGAGAGGAGCGUCAUCAAUAUAGAUGCGGGAGGUGCAAACAGGUUGGUCACAGCAGCCGAUCAUUCUCUGCCGCCGUACCUCUUGAUAGCACUAACAACCAACAGCACCACUGAAACGAACGCCCAUCAAUCGCAUAAUGCUAUAUUCAGACAAUGAGGCCAUGUUAUGUGGUAUGCGUGUGUAUGAAAUGUAGUCAGGAAUGCAAUUAGUUGGUCAACCGCGUAACGUGUGUUUUGGAGUAAUAGACGUUGGCUUUAUGUGUUCUUUUAUUGUCAAAUUCAUCUGUCGUAUUGUUUUGAUAACAUAUCAUUCCAUCUUC
Ziziphus jujuba (common jujube) is the source of this 1419-nucleotide long non-coding RNA. RefSeq lists it as uncharacterized. NCBI's taxonomy places the organism in Eukaryota, Viridiplantae, Streptophyta, Magnoliopsida, Rosales, Rhamnaceae. The transcript has 2 exons. The record is from RefSeq and is a predicted model, not a curated record.